Molecule: ribosomal RNA, 496 nt
Filed under: uncultured bacterium
Lineage: Bacteria
Description: partial 16S ribosomal RNA
Rfam family: Bacterial small subunit ribosomal RNA
Source: RNAcentral
AUGAACGCUGGCGGCGUGCCUCAUACAUGCAAGUCGAGCGAACAGAUCAGGAGCUUGCUCCUUUGACGUUAGCGGCGGACGGGUGAGUAACACGUGGGUAACCUACCUAUAAGACUGGGAUAACUUCGGGAAACCGGAGCUAAUACCGGAUAACAUUUGGAACCGCAUGGUUCUAAAGUGAAAGAUGGUUUUGCUAUCACUUAUAGAUGGACCCGCGCCGUAUUAGCUAGUUGGUAAGGUAACGGCUUACCAAGGCGACGAUACGUAGCCGACCUGAGAGGGUGAUCGGCCACACUGGAACUGAGACACGGUCCAGACUCCUACGGGAGGCAGCAGUAGGGAAUCUUCCGCAAUGGGCGAAAGCCUGACGGAGCAACGCCGCGUGAGUGAUGAAGGGUUUCGGCUCGUAAAACUCUGUUAUUAGGGAAGAACAAAUGUGUAAGUAACUGUGCACGUCUUGACGGUACCUAAUCAGAAAGCCACGGCUAACUACGUG